RNAcentral lists this ribosomal RNA (253 nucleotides) under uncultured bacterium. RNAcentral describes it as "partial 16S ribosomal RNA". It matches the Rfam family "Bacterial small subunit ribosomal RNA", at positions 524 to 776 of the family's 1533-position model. The record is from RNAcentral.
UACGGAGGGGGCUAGCGUUGUUCGGAAUUACUGGGCGUAAAGCGCACGUAGGCGGCUUCGCAAGUCAGAGGUGAAAGCCCGGGGCUCAACCCCGGAACUGCCUUUGAGACUGCGUCGCUCGAAUCCGGGAGAGGCGGGUGGAAUUCCGGGUGUAGAGGUGGAAUUCGUAGAUACUCGGAGGAACACCAGUGGCGAAGGCGGCCCGCUGGACCGGCAUUGACGCUGAGGUGCGAAAGCGUGGGGAGCAAACAGG